RNAcentral lists this long non-coding RNA (1508 nucleotides) under Macaca mulatta (Rhesus monkey). RNAcentral's name for it is "lncRNA (ENSMMUG00000053585.1)". The record is from RNAcentral. Lineage: Eukaryota; Metazoa; Chordata; Mammalia; Primates; Cercopithecidae.
CACGAAGCAGCAUGGCAGGGCCUGGGGAGGGCCUUCGGGAGGGGUUGUGUGGAGCAGCAGAGCCGGUUAGGAGCGAGGAAGAAAACAUGUCAUAGCAGGUUCUUUCUUUCCUUGGGGUCUCUGUUUCCUCAACGGAUACACGGGGUCACAGCUGCACCUGCUUCGCGGGGCUAUCCUGAGGAUUAAAUGAGGUAACGAGGGUAGAAGGCUGAGUAUGGGAUCCCAGCACACAGUAGGUGCUCAAAAAAUGUUGGCUGAUGUUCGUGUCAUGGGGUUGUGUCCAGCAGGCCAGGAAUCCUGGCCUGGUUUGCUUGCCGAUGCAUCAGCACGUGGCCGGUGCUGGAUGAAUUUCUGCUGGAUGAAUGAUGAUGCCAAGUGACUUGGCCAAGGUCCGUGCAGGCCAGAGGCUUCCCCCGGGUGGGUCUCACGUCCAGUGAUGUGCUCCUUUAAGAUGUCACAGUGGAGGCUGGGCGCGGUGGCUCACACCUGUAAUCCCAGCACUUUGAGAGGCUGAGGAAGGGGGAUCACCUGAGGUUCGAGAUCAGCCUGGCCAACAUGGUGAAAUCCCGUCUCUACUAAAAAUACAAAAUUAACCUGGUGUGGUGGCGGGCACCUGUAAUCCCAGCUACUCAAGAGGCUGAGGCCGGGAUCACUUGAACCUGGGAGUUGGAGGUUGCAGUGAGUGGAGAUAGUGCCACUGCACUCCAGCCUGGGCAACAAGAGUGAAACUAUGUCUCAAAAAAAAAAAAAAAAAAAAAAGAGUGACACUUGGUCCCUGGUGUUAUUGGUCGCCGGGAAAGAGAGAACCUCUCCCAAGCACCCAAAGGUUCUGGAAAGGGUGUCCGGGUACAGAGAGAAGAGAUCAAAGUAGACGCAGUUCCCACCCUCAUGCAGUGCCUGGGGAAGUGCCCAGGGUCUCAUGGGACAGGUGCUGGUGCUGGUCACCAGAGGUGCAGGACAACAUAAGAGGCUGUGAAAGAGAGAGAGGAAGUCCCUGGUGCUGGGCAUCCUGGGAAGAAUACAGAGAGCCAAGGCUUGGGGAGCAGUGACCGUGGGCCAGAGCUGAUGCAGGCACUGUGCAUGCUCAUUCAGCCCUGACAACAGCCCUGUUGAACAGACAAGGAAACCGAGGCUCAGAGAGGCUGGGCAACUUGCUUGAGGGCACACAGCCUGGGAGUGCUGGAGCUAGAGCCUGAGCAUAGGUGGACACCUGCACAGCUGGUCCUACCACCCCCCAGUCACUCUCCACCAUUUGUUAGAUGCAAAGUGCAGAGGCUUUGACCUGUUGCUAAUAGUCUCCCCAGCAGCUCUGUAAGGGAGGCUUUUCAGAUACCUUUUUUGAGGGGGAUGGGGGAAAUAUAAGACCAUCCACUGUAGAAGACAGAUUGGUGCUUCCUCAAUAAGUUAAACAUAGAGUUACCUUAUGACUCAGAAAUUCCACUCCUAGGUGUAUACCCCAAAGAAUCAAAGACAGGUAGGCAUCCUGUUAGAUGCCUUGUUAGACAUUC